AUGGUCUCCCUCGGGGUCCUCGGCGUCGUGUCCCAGGUCACCCUGGCGAUGCAGCCGCUGUUCAAGCGUUCGGUGACGUUCGUGAAGCGCGGCGACGCCGACUUGCCACCGCAGGUGGCCGCGUGGGGCCGCCUCCACGAGUUCGGCGACAUGACGUGGCUUCCGCAGGAGGGCCAGGUCCUGUACCGGCAGGACGACCGCGUCGACGUCUCGUCGCCGGGAGACGGGCUCAACGAUCUGCUCUUCUUCCGGUCCAGUCCCACGCGCGGGCUCGUCGCCGCCAGAGCCGCCGAGGAGCGGCUGCAGGAGAACGGCACCGACGCCGCCCGGUGCGCGGCGGUGCGUACCGACGUGGCGGCCGCCGAGCGGCAGGGAUACGGCUACACCAACGACGGCGUGUCCUUCACGGGGUACCCGGUGGUGGGGUACCAGCACCGCAUCCAGACGUUCGGGUCGUGCAUCGACAGCCCGGAGGACGGCCUCCGCUCCGCCUGCGCGUGGGACCCGCGCGUCCGAGGCCCCUUCUUCUACAACUCCGCCUUCAGCGUCGCGCUGUCCAGGGCGCCGGCGUUCGUCGCCGACAUGCAGCGGCUCCGGGACCUCGACCCGGGCGCGCUCUGCGCCGGCCUCGACGGCAGGGUGGGCGUGCUCAUUCGCUACGUCAGGGCGUCCUCGGCCUGCCUCGGCAAGGCGGAUGACUCGGUCGACUUCGACCUGAUCUACUACAGGAGCCGCUCCGCCGGCGGCAAGCCACGCGCGCACGCCGACGUGGUGGACGAGAUCGAGCAGAUGGCGCUGCGGAAGUACGGCGGCCUCCCGCACUGGGGCAAGAACCGCAACUCCGCCUUCGACGGCGCCAUCGCCAGGUACCCGAAGGCCGGCGAGUUCCUCAGGGUGAAGGAGAAGUACGACCCCGACGGGCUGUUCUCCAGCGAGUGGAGCGACCAGGUGCUCGGGGUCAAUGGUGGGAGCCCAAGCAUCGUCGGGAAGCGUUGCGCCAUCGAAGGGCUCUGCGUCUGCUCCGACGACUCACACUGCGCGCCGGAGCAGGGGUACUUCUGCCGGCCAGGGAAGGUGUACACAGAGGCCAGGGUUUGCUCCUUUUUACGCGCACAGUGA
Molecule: ribosomal RNA, 1119 nt
Filed under: Triticum aestivum (bread wheat)
Lineage: Eukaryota; Viridiplantae; Streptophyta; Magnoliopsida; Poales; Poaceae
Description: partial small subunit ribosomal RNA
Source: RNAcentral